GGUAGUCUCUCAAUCUGAUUAGUAUUUUUCCAUGAUAUCAAUUUAUGUGGCUUGGGUAUUUGUGCUACAUUUGAGUUACAUGAAUUGGAUUUACUCUGAAACUGAGAUAUUUUCUGCUUACUGAAUCUUUGAUGUGCACGAUAAAUCAAUUCUUUUUUAUUGUGACUAGUUUCUCUGACUUAUACUUCUUCUGGUUCUUCUUUCUAAAUGUAAAAUAUAUUGGGGCUAAUGUGUUUUAACUUAUGGACUUGAAAGAUGAAAUGAAGUUGGUUGUUUAACAUUUUUCUCUGAUCCUACUAUAUUUUAUAGUUUUGAUGUACCUCAUUAAUGCGACAUUAUUUUCUUAAUUAGCUUGAAUUUGGGGUACAGAAGAGGAAAAAAAAGCUAGGUUGCUUGUGUCUUUUCACUUGUAUAAUAAUACCUUGUUGUAAUACAUUAUAUGAAGUCCCAACUUAAAUAAGUAUUUCAGGACAUUUUGUGUUGGAAGCAUUGCAUUGAAUAAAGGC
RNAcentral lists this unclassified non-coding RNA (506 nucleotides) under Hevea brasiliensis (rubber tree). Lineage: Eukaryota; Viridiplantae; Streptophyta; Magnoliopsida; Malpighiales; Euphorbiaceae. The record is from RNAcentral.